This 2834-nucleotide ribosomal RNA is filed under the name Candidatus Woesearchaeota archaeon. Its description in RNAcentral is "23S ribosomal RNA". It matches the Rfam family "Archaeal large subunit ribosomal RNA". Lineage: Archaea; Nanobdellati; Candidatus Woesearchaeota. The record is from RNAcentral.
AGGUGGAUGACUGGGCUCAAGAGGCCGACGAAGGGUGUGACAAGCUGCAGUAAGCUUCGGCGAGCCGCAUGUAGGCUUUGAACCGGAGAUGCCCGAAUGAGACUUCUCAAUAAAUCCGAAAGGAUAGGGAACGCAGGGAAUUGAAACGUCUUAGUACCUGCAGGAAAAGAAAUCAAACGAGAUGCUGUUAGUAAGAGCGACCGAACACAGCAAUAGGCAAACCGAAUCUUGCAUGGAAACAUGCAAGGGAUGUGGUGUUACAGGACUGUCUUUUAGCCUGUGCCAGCCAACGAGAAGUGCGCUGGAAAGCGCUGCCAAAGAGGGUGAUAGCCCCGUAUUGGUAGACUGGCGUGGUGUGACAGAAUCCUGAGUAGCGUCUCUUGGAGAUGAGGCGUGAAUUUGGGAGGCAUCAACUUCCAACCUUAAAUACUUCUUGAGACCGAUAGCGUACAAGUACAGCGAUGGAAAGUUGAAAAGAACCCUUAACAGGGAGUUAAAAGACUCUGAAACCUACUAGUCAUGGAGGGAUGCGGCGUUACGGCGUUGCAUCGUCCGUUUUGAAUAACGUGCCAGGGAGUGCAUCUGAGUGGCAAGGGUAAUCCUGCUAAUGGAGGACCCGAAGGGAAACCGAUAUGCGCGCAAGCAAUGAGGCGCGAGGUAUGAAAGUGCCUGGAGUCACUUGGAUGCGACCCGAAGCCGAGCGAUCUAACCCUGGGUAAGGUGAAGCGCGGGUAAAACUGCGUGGAGGCCUGAAGAGGUGCUACGUGCAAGUGUUCUUCUAACCUGGGGCUAGGGGUGAAAAGCCAAUCGAGCUCGGUGAUAGCUGGUUCCUGUCGAAUUUGGCCGCAGUCAAAUCCUCGACGAGACAACGGAAGAGGUAGAGAGACGGAUUUGGGAUUUAGGGGUCGAAAGAUCUCGGUUCCUUGUCCAACUCCGAAUGUUUCCGUGUCGUAGACUUGAGGGGACGGGGGUCUCCCGUAACGGGAGGGUCCGAAAGGGGAACAACCCAGACUGAAGUUAAGGUCCCAAAAUACCGAUCAAGUGUGAAAGGGUGAAAGGUGUCUAUGUUCAAAGACAGCGAGGAGGUUGGCUUAGAAGCAGCCACCCUAUAAUAAGUGCGUAACAGCUUACUUGUCAAGAAUAUAGGCCCUGAAAAUGGACGGGGCUAAAUCGGUUACCGAUACUUCAGACAACCGAAAGGUUUGUGGUAGGCAGGCGUUGUGCAAGAGCAAAAGCUCGUCUGAGAGGAUGAGUGAAUCUUGUGCAAAUGAGGAUCCUGGUGAGAGUAGGAACAGAGUCAUGUGAGAAUCAUGACCACCGGAAGGGCAAGGGUUCCUUGACAAUGCAGUUCAGUCAAGGGUAAGUUGAUCCUAACUGUACACCUAACAGGUAGUACGGGAAAGGGAAAAAGGUUAAGAUUCCUUUACUACACGCGUACGUGUGGCAACACAAGUCUUUGUACUGACCGUUUGGGCUAGAUAGACACAGACCAUCGUCUGUGAUAACCACUGUACAUCGAGGGAGAAUAGUAAUGAUGAGAACUCGAUGAAACUUGGGAAUAGCGGGUCUUUGAUCCGUUCUGUUAAUGCCUGGACGCCAUGAAAAAGGACAAGGAAAGGAUCGCGUGUAAUCAUACCCAGAACCAGCACAGGUGCCCCUAGGUGAGAAGCCUAAGGUGUGAGGGUGUAAUCAGUCUAAGGGAACUCGGCAUAUUGGCCCCGUAACUUCGGUUUAAGGGGUCCCUACAGUCGUGAGCAUAUACUUGCGAUUGCAGGGUGCAAUAACUAAGUGGGUCCAACUGUUUAACAAAAACACAACUUUCCGCUAGCCAGAAAUGGUGUGUACGGAAGGUGACGUCUGCCCAGUGCCUGUACUUGAAACUUCGGUUCAACGGAGCUAAGAGCAGGUAAACGGCGGGGGUAACUAUAACUCUCUUAAGGUAGCGUAAUACCUUGCCGUUUGAAUGACGGCUUGCAUGAAUGGCGCAAUGAGAUCCACACUGUCCCUAGAUUGAAGCCCCCGAACACUCUUUUCUGGUGCAAAAGCCAGAGAUUUCCAGUGGGAAGUGAAGACCCCGUGAAACUUUACUGUAGCUUGUUGUUGCGACGUGAGGUCUGUUGUAUAGGGUAAGUGGGAGCCGCUACGAUAUGGUCGCCAGACCAUAGAUAGGCGACGAUGUAACACCACUCUUCGGAUCUUACGUUGCUAACUAACUGGUUUAGGACAGCGGCAAGUGGACAGUUUGGCUGGGGUGGCACACUACUGAAAGAAUAUCAGUAGUGCCCAAUGGUUGGCUCAGGCGGGUCGGAAAUCCGCUGUAGAGUGCAAGAGUAAAAGCCAGCCUGAUUGGAUCGCAACCAAGAAGCAAUCCAAGAACGAAAGUUUGGUCUAGCGAACCUCCGUACCUCCUUGGUGGGGGUCGGAGAUGACCGAAAAGUUACUCCGGGGAUAACAGAGUUGUCGCGCCCGAGAGCUCAUAUCGACGGCGCGGCUUGCUACAUCGAUGUCGGCUCUUCCUAUCCUGGUCGUGCAGAAGCGGCCAAGGGUGGGGGUGUUCACCCAUUAAAAGGGAUCGUGAGCUGGGUUCAGAACGCUGUGAGGCAGUUUGUUUAAUAUCUACUGGAAAUGUUUGAUGUCUGAGUGGAAGGACCUUCUAGUACGAGAGGAACGGGGGUUCGAGGCCUCUGGUCGAUCGGUUGUCUGACAAGGCACGCCGAGCAGCUACGCCUUUGGAGAUAAAUGCUGAAAGCAUCUAAGCAUGAAGCUCUCCGCAAAAAGAGACAUCAUAGGACUCGGGAAAAAGACCCGUUUGAUGGGACUGGUGUGUACGCACA